This 110-nucleotide small nuclear RNA is filed under the name Catagonus wagneri (Chacoan peccary). Lineage: Eukaryota; Metazoa; Chordata; Mammalia; Artiodactyla; Tayassuidae. The record is from RNAcentral.
GAGCUUGCCUUAGCAGCACAGACGCCGACAUUGAAAGGGUACAGAGAAGAUUAACAUGCCCCUGAGCAAGGAUGGCAUGCAAAGAAACUCCUGAAGCAUUCCGUAUUUAA